This 468-nucleotide ribosomal RNA is filed under the name uncultured bacterium. RNAcentral's name for it is "partial 16S ribosomal RNA". It matches the Rfam family "Bacterial small subunit ribosomal RNA", at positions 28 to 507 of the family's 1533-position model. The record is from RNAcentral.
GACGAACGCUGGCGGCGUGCUUAACACAUGCAAGUCGAACGGAAAGGCCCUGCUUUUGUGGGGUGCUCGAGUGGCGAACGGGUGAGUAACACGUGAGUAACCUGCCCUUGACUUUGGGAUAACUUCAGGAAACUGGGGCUAAUACCGGAUAUGAGCUCCUGCUGCAUGUUGGGGGUUGGAAAGUUUCGGCGGUUGGGGAUGGACUCGCGGCUUAUCAGCUUGUUGGUGGGGUAGUGGCUUACCAAGGCUUUGACGGGUAGCCGGCCUGAGAGGGUGACCGGCCACAAUGGGACUGAGAUACGGCCCAGAAGCCUACGGGAGGCAGCAGGGGGGAAUAUUGCACAAUGGGCGGAAGCCUGAUGCAGCAACGCCGCGUGCGGGAUGACGGCCUUCGGGUUGUAAACCGCUUUCGCCUGUGACGAAGCGUGAGCGACGGUAAUGGGUAAAGAAGCACCGGCUAACUACGUG